CCCGGCGACCGGCGCACGGGUGAGUAACACGUAUGCAACCUGGCCGCCACAGGGGGAUAACCCGCGGAAACGCGGCCUAAUACCCCGUGACGCCACCGGAGGGCAUCCUCCGGUGGCCAAAGGAGCGAUCCGGUGGCGGAUGGGCAUGCGGCGCAUUAGCUAGACGGCGGGGUGACGGCCCACCGUGGCGACGAUGCGUAGGGGUUCUGAGAGGAAGGCCCCCCUCACUGGGACUGAGACACGGCCCAGACUCCUACGGAAGGCAGCAG
RNAcentral lists this ribosomal RNA (269 nucleotides) under uncultured bacterium. RNAcentral's name for it is "partial 16S ribosomal RNA". It matches the Rfam family "Bacterial small subunit ribosomal RNA", at positions 87 to 354 of the family's 1533-position model. The record is from RNAcentral.